This 71-nucleotide transfer RNA is filed under the name Ovis aries (sheep). It matches the Rfam family "tRNA". From Rfam's summary of the family: Transfer RNA (tRNA) molecules are approximately 80 nucleotides in length. Their secondary structure includes four short double-helical elements and three loops (D, anti-codon, and T loops). Lineage: Eukaryota; Metazoa; Chordata; Mammalia; Artiodactyla; Bovidae. The record is from Rfam by way of RNAcentral.
UCCAAGUGGUGCUAGUGGUAAAGAAUCUGCCUGUAAUGCAGGAAUCUCGGGUUCGAUCCCUGGUCUUGGAA